GACGAACGCUGGCGGCGUGCCUAAUACAUGCAAGUUGAGCGCUGAAGGUUGGUACUUGUACCGACUGGAUGAGCAGCGAACGGGUGAGUAACGCGUGGGGAAUCUGCCUUUGAGCGGGGGCCAACAUUGGGAAAGAAAGGUAAAAACGCCUAAAAACUUUUAAACAAAGUUUUAAGGUUUAAAAAUGCAAUUGGAUUAAUCAAAGAAGAACCCGCGUUGUAUUAGCUAGUUGGUGAGGUAAAGGCUCACCAAGGCGAUGAUACAUAGCCGACCUGAGAGGGUGAUCGGCCACAUUGGGACUGAGACACGGCCCAAACUCCUACGGGAGGCAGCAGUAGGGAAUCUUCGGCAAUGGACGAAAGUCUGACCGAGCAACGCCGCGUGAGUGAAGAAGGUUUUCGGAUCGUAAAACUCUGUUGGUAGAGAAGAACGUUGGUGAGAGUGGAAAGCUCAUCAAGUGACGGUAACUACCCAGAAAGGGACGGCUAACUACGUG
RNAcentral lists this ribosomal RNA (496 nucleotides) under uncultured bacterium. RNAcentral's name for it is "partial 16S ribosomal RNA". It matches the Rfam family "Bacterial small subunit ribosomal RNA", at positions 28 to 507 of the family's 1533-position model. The record is from RNAcentral.